GGCACUUGAAGGCCCGGGAGUUCCCCUUGGACAGCUUCACCACGGACUGUUUGCAGAGGGCGUGCCCGCAGGGCAUCAGCAUCGGCGGGUUCUCCUCGCUGGCCGGCUCCCUGGAGACGGGGCACACGAAGAUGGAGUGGAACUGGAACUCCUUGCCCAGAUCGACGGCCACCGGCAGCUGCUUCAUGGCCUGCCACUCCUGUUUCUUGCCGGCCAUCACGCCGGCGAGCUUCAGCAGCGUCGGCAGGGCCUGCACGCCGGCGGCCACGGCGACGGCCAGCGGGCUCUCGCAGGACUGCCCCAGGAGCCUGCAGAACUGCCGCGUGAGCUCAUCGGCGGUGGUCUCCCAGAGGGUCGGAGAGAGGAACUCCGCGUAGGGGGACUGGUCCAGCC
This 393-nucleotide long non-coding RNA is filed under the name Spirodela polyrhiza (greater duckweed). RNAcentral's name for it is "long non-coding RNA (SPOL_LNC000259)". The record is from RNAcentral. Lineage: Eukaryota; Viridiplantae; Streptophyta; Magnoliopsida; Alismatales; Araceae.